This 502-nucleotide ribosomal RNA is filed under the name uncultured bacterium. RNAcentral describes it as "bacterial SSU rRNA". It matches the Rfam family "Bacterial small subunit ribosomal RNA", at positions 28 to 526 of the family's 1533-position model. The record is from RNAcentral.
GACGAACGCUGGCGGCGUGCCUAAUACAUGCAAGUCGAACGAACACCUUCGGGUGUUAGUGGCGAACGGGUGAGUAACACGUAAGUAACCAACCUAUGAGACGAGGAUAACUACUGGAAACGGUAGCUAAGACUGGAUAGGAUAUAUGAUCAAUGAUUAUAUAUUUAAAGAUGCUUUCGGGCAUCACUGAUAGAUGGGCUUGCGGCGCAUUAGCUAGUUGGUGGGGUAAAAGCCUACCAAGGCGACGAUGCGUAGCCGACCUGAGAGGGUGAUCGGCCACACUGGGACUGAGACACGGCCCAGACUCCUACGGGAGGCAGCAGUAGGGAAUCUUCGGCAAUGGACGAAAGUCUGACCGAGCAACGCCGCGUGAGUGAAGAAGGUCUUCGGAUUGUAAAGCUCUGUUAUUAGGGAAGAAAGAGAUUAACAGGAAAUGGUUAAUCAGUGACGGUACCUAAUGAGAAAGCCACGGCUAACUACGUGCCAGCCGCCGCAGUAAAAC